RNAcentral lists this small RNA (57 nucleotides) under Anolis carolinensis (green anole). The record is from RNAcentral. Lineage: Eukaryota; Metazoa; Chordata; Lepidosauria; Squamata; Anolidae.
GACACUGGUGGUUGGCACUCCUGGCUUCCAGGAUGGGGUUCAAAUCCCUAUGGUGUC